This 253-nucleotide ribosomal RNA is filed under the name uncultured bacterium. RNAcentral describes it as "partial 16S ribosomal RNA". It matches the Rfam family "Archaeal small subunit ribosomal RNA", at positions 474 to 727 of the family's 1478-position model. The record is from RNAcentral.
UACCAGCACCCCGAGUGGUCGGGACGAUUAUUGGGCCUAAAGCAUCCGUAGCCGGCCUUACAAGUCCCCCGUUAAAUCCAACUGCUUAACAGAUGGGCUGCGGAGGAUACUAUAAGACUAGGAGGCAGGAGAGGCAAGCGGUACUCAGUGGGUAGGGGUAAAAUCCGUUGAUCCAUUGAAGACCACCAGUGGCGAAGGCGGCUUGCCAGAAUGCGCUCGACGGUGAGGGAUGAAAGCGUGGGGAGCAAACAGG